Non-coding RNA from Nerophis lumbriciformis (worm pipefish), 290 nucleotides. Lineage: Eukaryota; Metazoa; Chordata; Actinopteri; Syngnathiformes; Syngnathidae. The record is from RefSeq and is a predicted model, not a curated record.
GUGGCAACACUGCAGGAAGUUAAAUGCUGAUUACUGAGCUCAUCAUUGCUUGACAGCUAAUAGUGAAGAAACGCAUCACAACGUUCGCUUUUCCUUUCAACAACAACAACACUACUAAUCACGGCAGACUUGAUGAAAGACAACAAAGACAACUUUGGACAAAUGAUGAUCCAGAAACUUCUAUUUCUUGGCCUGAAUAUAAAUGAAGAUUUCAUCAUAAUCCUCACAAAGGGUUGAAAAACAAGGUGCUGCAAACAAGCGUCUUGGGUUUCUGUCCACAACCUUCUACU